AUAUAUAUUAUUAAAUUUCAUAUUAUAAAUAAAUAUAUUUAAUAUAUAAACAUGACAUAUUUUUCUUAAAUAUAUAGAUGCAUGUGUUUUUGUAUAUUUAUACAAAAUAAAAAUAGACGGUACACCUUUAAAUGAACAAAAACUUUUAUUUUGGAUGCAAUUAAUCGUUUGACAGCACUAAUUAUAAUAUAACAUUUUCUGUUUUUGAAAUUCUAAAACCUUUUUUUUUACAGGUUUAAAUUCGAAUUUUCCGAUUUUUAAAUCCCUCUGGUAUGUGUAUACCAUAUAUUGAUAGAUACUGAGUAUUGUCAAUUUCAUUUAACACAUUUUUCCAUGUUUCAUGUUUUUACUCGUGUGCAAAUCCAUGUUUUCUUCACAAUGAGCACAGAAAUGUGAACCGGCUGUAUUCUGUCUGUAGGUCACUCGGUGUCAUCUACCUCACAGUGUGUGAUGGUUUUACUCGUGUCCAGUGUUGUACCAUGGGUCAUGCUUGGGGUUUUUAUUUUCUUUACAUAAGAAUGAUCUGUUAUUUCAGAACCCCGUCUGUUUGAAAGAAGACCACAAGGGUGUGUUGUGUUGUUUGUGUGUGUGAGACCUGAAUGUACUGAGUGUGUGAAUGUGUGUCACGGCGAGCGUCACAGACUCUGGUAGGAUUUUACUCGUGGGUGUGUAGUGAAGGAUCUCCCUUUAAGUGAUAUUCGUGCCUCUGAGUAAUUGAAAUAAAAGUGCUACACUAUGUCAGAGCCUAUGAGUCUUGAUUUCAGUGCUUUCUGACUCAUCUCGAUGCACAGGAAGAGGAAGUAGCUCCAGGAAUGAUGCAACUGGGGAAUUUUUCAGAGCAUUUCAGUGUAGGAGUGUAGAUCAAACAUUAUUCUGAAACUAUUUUUAACUUUUUUUUAUAUAUAUAUAUAAAAAUAACUUUAAUAAUUCUUAUAUAUGCAAUUUGAGUAUGAGCUUACAUUAUAAAGUUGCAUUAAAAGAAACAAAUAUUUUGCACGAGACAACGUUACAAUAACAAAGUUUUGCAUGUAUCCAACACCAGGAGGCGCUAAAAUAAUGGCCUUAAAGUCAAAAGUAAAGCUGUGGGCUGCAGAUACUAGGUGUUUUUACUGUCCUUUUUUUUUAUGCAUUUAUUGACUUUUGACGGUCUGAGGUCUAGAACUAUCAGCCAAAUCAAUAUUUGUUCUUUGUCUUGUUUGGUUUCUAGAGACAUGAAUACACAAUGUAAAACCUGCCCAACCCUUAUAUAUAUACACUCUAAAAAACGCUGGGUUGUUUUUUCAACCCAACUGCUGGGUUGAGGCCGUUGGAUAGGACUUUGGGAUGUUUUAACCCAAGUUUGGGUUGAAAAUAAGGUUUAAAAAAAAAAAGUUUAACCCAGCGGGUCUGGGUUGAGGACGCGGACGUGAAGGAGAGCACGCACGUCACGUCAAGAUCGUACGUCUCCAGUGCGAGCAGCCGCCAUUUUCUCAGCGUGAUAGAAGCGAGAAGCGAGUGAAAGACUAUGACUUGUCAAGCUUGUGUCUUCAUUGUCCUCGCGCUGAGAGUUAAAGACACAGAAGCUGUUUGUGUGAGGAGUCACAGACCUGUGUGAGGAUGAGGAGGAGGUGUUUUUCUGAAGAGAGGGACAGACGGUUUAAGGAGAGUAAACUUCAGAAUAACAUCAAGUUAUCUUUAUUUUUACUAAGACUAAAAUAAUGUUGUUGUUUUUUUAGAUGUUGCAAUCCAGAGACAAGAUAACUUCAUUCUUUUGAGACUGAUAACUCAAACUAUCUGGAGUUAAGGACACAGAAGUCUGCUUGUGUGAGGAGGAGGUUUUCUCAGCUUCUUCUGAAGAGAGGGAAAGAUCGU
Molecule: long non-coding RNA, 1851 nt
Organism: Carassius gibelio (silver crucian carp)
Lineage: Eukaryota; Metazoa; Chordata; Actinopteri; Cypriniformes; Cyprinidae
Exons: 3
Source: RefSeq, a predicted model, not a curated record